AAACUCCGAAUUCUAAUAUGACGUCCUUAUUACGCUUUGUAAACAAAGCCGUGUUCUAAUGAGCACAAAAUAUGUUUGACACAUGCGCACAAACUUACUGUUUAUAUUAACGUUAUUUUCCAUCGUUAUCCUUUAAAAUAUAUACAUUUAUGCAGCUAACAUAAACUUUUAUUAUAUAUUUUUAUGAAACAACAUAUAUUUACCCUGCUCGUAGUUUUUAAACUUAUCAAAUAUGAAAUGCAAUGCACAGGAGGAAACGGGAACAGCCAAACAUUUUUACGGUAAUUUCGUACGCUUUGACCUAUAAAAAUAC
This 313-nucleotide long non-coding RNA is filed under the name Mytilus galloprovincialis (Mediterranean mussel). The record is from RNAcentral. Lineage: Eukaryota; Metazoa; Mollusca; Bivalvia; Mytilida; Mytilidae.